Molecule: transfer RNA, 77 nt
Filed under: Sphaerodactylus townsendi
Lineage: Eukaryota; Metazoa; Chordata; Lepidosauria; Squamata; Sphaerodactylidae
Description: tRNA-Ala
Source: RNAcentral
GGAGCAGGAUUGUGGUUCAGUGGUAGAACUUGUAUUUGGCAUGCAGAAAUUCCCAAGUUCAAUCCCUGGCUCCUCCA